This 1267-nucleotide long non-coding RNA is filed under the name Nicotiana benthamiana. RNAcentral's name for it is "long non-coding RNA (NBEN_LNC037628)". The record is from RNAcentral. Lineage: Eukaryota; Viridiplantae; Streptophyta; Magnoliopsida; Solanales; Solanaceae.
AUUAUAUAGAAUUAGAGAUGAUUAUAUUGCAUUCACACAUAAUGCAACUAACUCACGCAAAAGAAUAUGAUAAAAUGAAUAAGUUAGCCUAAGAGGAUUUGGUUAUACUCCACAUAUUCCUACAAAUACAUUAUUCUGUAGGUGCGGCACUAUAGACACAUCAUUUCAUAGCUCUGCUUAUCCUAAGUUUAUGUUCUUCAAAAUUGAACUGAUAGUGGUGUCAAGUGACUGUGCAGGACAAUGUAGUUGAAGGUAUAGUUGCAUCAGUAUCCCUGGUCCAUUUGUCUUUACAACUUUAAUCUUUCCACCCAUUUUGUUAUCCUGCAUAUCAUCCUUUAUCAUUAGAAAUUGCCAAGACAAUCAAAUAUUCUUCAAUUGUAUGCUUAAAGCCUAUUCCAAGGGAAACUUUCUUAGUAAUGAUGAAUCGUGUGUAAUUUUAUCUUGCCAGUUGAUGUUUGCCAUCCUUUGGCUUGUAAGGGGCUUAAGACAUCAUGAAGUCCAACAAAAUCAUUAUAGAACCUGAAUAAUUUUUCAAACUAAAUCCAAAUUGAAAUAUUUUUUCUUGCGAAUUCAAAGUCUCAAAUUUCGGAAACUUAUUAUUUGAAAUGGGAAAAAGUUGAACUCACAAGGGUAUGCACAAUGCAUAGCUUAAGGGCAGUACCACCAUGCCUGAGUAUGAAGUAAUCAAAUAAUGAUAUAUCUUUAGUUAGGUAUUAAAUAGUUUUAAGGUGUGUAGGAAGUAAAUUCAUUCAGUAGGUGCAGCACUACAGACACCUAUAAUUAUAUGACUAAAGAAAUCAGGAAUGCUUGCCUUACCUAGUAUCAGGUCUGUAGCGGUCCGAAUUUUUCAAAACCUGACAACACGAAUCUUUAAUUUCCAAUUCAUUGAAUUGCUAUUAGUUUGCUACCGAAAUUUACUUGAGUUGCCAUUAAGUACUGUAAAUAGACAGAGGUAUACACAAAUAUCCAUACAAACUCCAACAAAAUGCUUAUAGAAACACAUAUGGAGUAAUAGAUCGUGUGAAAUAAUUGACUUUUUCCUAACGAUUCUAUAAAAAAUCAUCAGCAAGAAUCUGUGGUAUAACCCUAAGAUUGAUAAACAACAGUUGUCAUAGGAGUUACGCCGUGAAAAACCUUCACAGAAAAAUCUAUCAAGAAAUACAAUUUGAACUAUAAUAAAGAUUGUAUAUGAAAUACAAAUCAUACCAAUACCUCUUGUAGUCCACAAUUGUUGCUUGAUACGCACAAAAGGGAGAAAGAAUAGAAG